RNAcentral lists this ribosomal RNA (513 nucleotides) under uncultured bacterium. Its description in RNAcentral is "partial 16S ribosomal RNA". It matches the Rfam family "Bacterial small subunit ribosomal RNA", at positions 28 to 523 of the family's 1533-position model. The record is from RNAcentral.
GACGAACGCUGGCGGCAUGCCUAAUACAUGCAAGUCGGGCGAACAGAUGAAGUGCUUGCACUUCUGACGUUAGCGGCGAACGGGUGAGUAACACGUAAGGAAUCUACCUAUAAGCGGGGGAUAACAUUCGGAAACGGGUGCUAAUACCGCAUAAUAUCUUCUUCCGCAUGGAAGAAGAUUGAAAGACGGCUCUGCUGUCACUUAUAGAUGACCUUGCGGUGCAUUAGUUAGUUGGUGGGGUAAUGGCCUACCAAGACGAUGAUGCAUAGCCGACCUGAGAGGGUGAUCGGCCACAUUGGGACUGAGACACGGCCCAAACUCCUACGGGGGGCAGCAGUAGGGAAUCUUCCGCAAUGGGCGAAAGCCUGACGGAGCAAUGCCGCGUGAGUGAAGAAGGCCUUCGGGUCGUAAAACUCUGUUAUAAGAGAAGAACAAAUUGUAGAGUAACUGCUACAGUCUUGACGGUAUCUUAUCAGGAAGCCACGGCUAACUACGUGCCAGCCGCCGCCGUAA